Molecule: ribosomal RNA, 252 nt
Filed under: uncultured Bacteroidales bacterium
Lineage: Bacteria; Pseudomonadati; Bacteroidota; Bacteroidia; Bacteroidales
Description: partial 16S ribosomal RNA
Rfam family: Bacterial small subunit ribosomal RNA
Source: RNAcentral
UACGGAGGAUGCGAGCGUUAUCCGGAUUUAUUGGGUUUAAAGGGUGCGUAGGCGGAGUGUCAAGUCAGCGGUAAAAUUUCGGGGCUCAACCCCGUCGUGCCGUUGAAACUGACACCCUUGAGUGAGUGAGAAGUAAGCGGAAUGCGUGGUGUAGCGGUGAAAUGCUUAGAUAUCACGAAGAACCCCGAUUGCGAAGGCAGCCUGCCGCAGCGUUACUGACGCUGAAGCUCGAAAGCGCGGGUAUCGAACAGG